RNAcentral lists this ribosomal RNA (253 nucleotides) under uncultured bacterium. Its description in RNAcentral is "partial 16S ribosomal RNA". It matches the Rfam family "Bacterial small subunit ribosomal RNA", at positions 524 to 776 of the family's 1533-position model. The record is from RNAcentral.
UACAGAGGGUGCGAGCGUUAAUCGGAAUUACUGGGCGUAAAGCGUGCGUAGGCGGCUAUCUAAGUCGGGUGUGAAAGCCCCGGGCUCAACCUGGGAAUUGCAUUCGAGACUGAAUAGCUAGGGUACGGUAGAGGGAAGUGGAAUUUCCGGUGUAGCGGUGAAAUGCGUAGAUAUCGGAAGGAACAUCAGUGGCGAAAGCGACUUCCUGGACCAGUACCGACGUUCAGGCACGAAAGCGUGGGGAGCGAACAGG